CACGUAGGCGGACCGGAAAGUUGGAGGUGAAAUCCCAGGGCUCAACCUUGGAACUGCCUUCAAAACUAUCGGUCUGGAGUUCGAGAGAGGUGAGUGGAAUUCCGAGUGUAGAGGUGAAAUUCGUAGAUAUUCGGAGGAACACCAGUGGCGAAGGCGGCUCACUGGCUCGAUACUGACGCUGAGGUGCGAAAGCGUGGGGAGGCAAACA
Molecule: ribosomal RNA, 208 nt
Filed under: uncultured bacterium
Lineage: Bacteria
Description: partial 16S ribosomal RNA
Rfam family: Bacterial small subunit ribosomal RNA
Source: RNAcentral